This 284-nucleotide unclassified non-coding RNA is filed under the name uncultured fungus. Its description in RNAcentral is "sequence contains 5.8S rRNA gene". The stretch from base 1 to 53 matches the Rfam family "5.8S ribosomal RNA", at positions 102 to 154 of the family's 154-position model. Lineage: Eukaryota; Fungi. The record is from RNAcentral.
GAACGCACAUUGCACCCGGUGGUAUUCCGCCGGGUAUGCCUGUUCGAGCGUCAUUUCCACCCUCAGGCUCCCCCCGUCAAAGGGAGCGAGCCUGGUGUUGGGGAUCUACGGGCCCUUCUGGCGCCCGUAGCCCCCUAAAUUCAUCGGCGUGCGCGCUGUACGUUGCCCCCUGCGUAGUAGUGAUUUCUCGCAUCGGGCCGUCGCACUGUCCAGCCGCUAAACUGCAUCUAUGCAUUUAGCUAGGUUUGACCUCGAAUCAGGUAGGGUUACCCGCUGAACUUAAG